Long non-coding RNA from Cyprinus carpio carpio, 737 nucleotides. The record is from Ensembl. Lineage: Eukaryota; Metazoa; Chordata; Actinopteri; Cypriniformes; Cyprinidae.
GAGUGGAAUUUUUACAAGAAGGGGAUAAUCCAUUGUCACCAGACAGAAUUCACCUGCACUGGAGGCACAGUCUCCACUAAGGGCUUCAUCUGAGUCUCUACCUGGGUCUCCACCUGGAUCUCCACCAUUUGCUUCUCAAGGGUCUCCAUCGCGGUCUCCUCCACAGACUUCUCCAGGAAGUCCUUUAAUCUCUGAUUCUGAUCUAAGGGCAGUAUUGCGUAAUCUGCAAUCAUAUGUUAAUGUUGAAGACAUGCCACCAACAGCAAACAGGAUUAAUGUUGUGAGGGGAGACAUUAUAGAAUCACCUUUCAGAGCAUUUAGAACGAGGCAGUUCAACCCUAAUUGCAAAUUGGAUGUGGUGUUUUUUGCGCAUGUGGUUAAGGUGAAGGAGCAGUGGACAAUGGUGGACCCACCAGGGAAUUUCUGACCUUUCUAAUGAAGGAACUUUUGAACUCGCGUUAUUUUGUGGGGCCUGUAUGGAGGAAGAACCUGGGACUGGACUCCAUAGGACUGUUUUGCCAGCUAACUGGGGAGCCAACACCACCUGUUUACAUUGUGGAGGUGCAUGAUGAAGACCUAAGUCAACAGCUCAACUGUCACGGAAUGGAAUGCACAGCAUUGUGGGAAACCAAAGGCGGCGAAGGAUACAUCUAUGCUGCCUUCAAAAAUCGGAUGAAGGAAAACAAAUCAGCUCACCUUAAACGCACCAAGUAAUUUUCCCUGUAUUAUUUUCCUCC